This 253-nucleotide ribosomal RNA is filed under the name uncultured bacterium. RNAcentral describes it as "partial 16S ribosomal RNA". It matches the Rfam family "Bacterial small subunit ribosomal RNA", at positions 524 to 776 of the family's 1533-position model. The record is from RNAcentral.
UACGGAGGGGGCUAGCGUUGUUCGGAAUUACUGGGCGUAAAGCGCUCGUAGGCGGAUUGAUAAGUCAGAGGUGAAAGCCCAGGGCUCAACCUUGGAAUUGCCUUUGAAACUGUCAGUCUUGAGUUCAGGAGAGGUGAGCGGAAUUCCGAGUGUAGAGGUGAAAUUCGUAGAUAUUCGGAUGAACACCAGAGGCGAAGGCGGCUCACUGGACUGAUACUGACGCUGAGGAGCGAAAGCGUGGGGAGCAAACAGG